CACACACUGAACACACACUGAUCACACACUGAACACAGUGACGCUGCAGCUGCUGUUGUGACUCCUCGCCUGUCGGUGGCGCCAGAGGUUGUUCCGCUGUGUUGUUGUGAUUCCUUCAGCUUCCUGUUUCCUGUGUUCUCUUGUCAGGUGUGUUCCAUCCGUCGUCUCUGGGAAGCCUGCGCUGCCCUUCACAUUAAAACCCACUGGGUCAAAGCAGCACCGUUCUCUCGUCCACACGUGGACGGGUUGUGGCUCAUCAACAGAAUUCUACACAAUGAAACAAUGUGUGCGGGUCCUCAGCGCUCGUCAUUCUGCUCCCAUCCCCCAGAGACGUGCGGUCGGUUAAUUGGUUGUCUGUCUCCUGUGAUGGCAGCCUCUCCUGCACCCCCCCCAACCACACACACACCAUCACCACCACCUAAUGACAGCUGGGAUUGGCUCUCGUUUGUUAACUCCUCCAAAAUGGAUGCUCCUGAACAGGAGCAUCCAGCCGCUGGCUCCGCUUGAGCUGCAGGGAACCUGAUCCCAGAUCAGACGGCAAACAUCCCUUCCAUGUAGUGUGUGUCUGUUUGAGUCCUAAAUGAGAAGGCGUCUCACAAGAAUCUGUGUAUUUAUACAUUCGUCCUUUGAACACAUUUUGUAUGUUUUGAAGCGUUUUCUUGGCUUCUAUGACCCAAACACCAACACGUGUGUUGGUGAAGAAUGUGUACUAUUAAAA
Molecule: long non-coding RNA, 718 nt
Filed under: Betta splendens (Siamese fighting fish)
Lineage: Eukaryota; Metazoa; Chordata; Actinopteri; Anabantiformes; Osphronemidae
Description: lncRNA (ENSBSLG00000022243.1)
Source: RNAcentral